CGAGGAAGUUGGAUUGGAACAUCUUGCAGAGCGAGCGCAAGUUCCGGGAGAUGUUGUUAAAGUCAGUGGGUAGCAAUCGGGCUAGUAGUAGUGGCUAUUGCAUGCAAGGAGGCUGCAGAAUUGGCGCUUCUCAGCUCCGAUCACUACGACACGUUCUUUGGACACAUUGUCGCGGUUGUGCGUUUCUCCAAGUAGAGCAGCUCAAAGGGCAGGCCUAAUUGCUCUCGUUUUCUUAAAGAAAAUCAUUCGUAAUUCAAUGAAGUUAGAUCGAGUACCUGAAACUUUAAUUGCUUCGGCUCUCCCGGGAUAGGCUUGCUCUUUCGAUAACAUUUGAAUUCGCGAAGUCAUUAUAAGUCCUACUCUGCCGUGCAGAAAACGCUGCCAGAUUCUCACUCGCAAGAAAAUCAUGUGAGGAAGUUCUAACAGCCGUGCUCAGAAUGAAGCCUUGCUGGUUCUUCUAGGUCAGCUUUUAAAACAGGAACCAUGUCAUGCUGUGCUCCACAUAUGCCAUCUGCCUGCAGCCUGUAAAAGAAAUGGAGUCAUUCUCCCCCUGAGUGCUGAGGUCAGGAGCUCCUGUGUUGCCGAUAAAAUGAAGUCGCUGCAGGCUGAGCGAGAUGACUGAAGGCAGAAACCAGCCGGAUCUGCUGCUAAAGCUAACUUUAAUAUGUUGUAAAAAUAAAAUGCUUUGAUCAGA
Molecule: long non-coding RNA, 694 nt
Organism: Rhincodon typus (whale shark)
Lineage: Eukaryota; Metazoa; Chordata; Chondrichthyes; Orectolobiformes; Rhincodontidae
Exons: 3
Source: RefSeq, a predicted model, not a curated record